Long non-coding RNA from Mustela erminea (ermine), 102 nucleotides. RefSeq lists it as uncharacterized. Lineage: Eukaryota; Metazoa; Chordata; Mammalia; Carnivora; Mustelidae. The transcript is spliced from 3 exons. The record is from RefSeq and is a predicted model, not a curated record.
CUGAAUAGCCAAGACAAUCCUGAGAAAGAUCAAAGCUGGAGGGAUCACAUGUCCUGAUUUCAAACUAUACUACACAAAGCUAUGAUCACAAAUAUGGUACCA